Molecule: long non-coding RNA, 1585 nt
Organism: Sciurus carolinensis (gray squirrel)
Lineage: Eukaryota; Metazoa; Chordata; Mammalia; Rodentia; Sciuridae
Exons: 3
Source: RefSeq, a predicted model, not a curated record
GAAAACAGUGCAAGAUGAGGAAAAGAAGCUCCAUCGUCUUUAAAUGGUUGACCUCCAUGAUGUGCAAAGCUGGUCUAACCUAUCUCAGUACUAUGGAUUGACACCAGAAGGAACUUCAAGGUUUUUUCAAUAUUCUUAUGGAUAAUUUAAGAGUAUCUCCCUUCUCAUGACAGCAUAUUGAAGAAGAGAUGAGGAAACAAGCUGAGAGAAGCUGCAAGUCUUGCCCAAGCUCACAGAGCUAUGAGCUGUUAUGACUUUGGAGAGUGUGUUUUCCUCUGUCUGGCCACAGGCAGCAGUGGUUUUGUUGGAAGAAUGGGGAGACAUGUCAAUUUUCUUGAAGUUGAUGCCAUUUAAACUGGGUUUUGAAGUAUGAAUAAGAGUUCAAAGAAGAUUCUCUGCGCAGAAGAAGCAUCCCCUGCAAAGCACGUAUGAUUUGCUCUGUAUUUCCCCCACCUCUUCCUAUGUCCACCACAUUGGGUUUUAUUCAACAUGAGGGGCCAAACAGUGGUGUCCACUGGGGAGGUUGCAUAUGGGAGACUUGAUAAAGAACAAUUGGGGAAGUUUUCAUAUGCCCGUGGGAUAUUUCCUAUGAGAGGAUUCUGGUACAAAUAAUAAUUUUUUUCUUGUGGAGAUCAUGAUGGUCCGAUUAUAUUUAUAUUCUUUUGAUUUUUAAACCAUGAUACAAUUUCUAAGGGUUUCAUAAAUUGGUUUUUGCUUUUAUGAAACAAUUUGGAAAAAUUGGGGUUUGCAGCCCAUGUCUGUUAACUAGUGGUUGAGCUGGCCACUCUCUUUGUGCAUAAGUAGUCCCACCCUGAAUGAAUGGGAAUGGAUGGGGAUGGGUGGGGAAAGGCAGUUUGUUAACUAGGAUUCUGAUGACAGCAGUGGAGACUAGCAAAGUAGCUUCCCUUUAUGUCCCUCCAAUGGUGGAAAAAUUUGAAUGUAAAUGUGAAAUAAAAAUAGUUAAUAACUGAAAGUAAAGGAUGAAAGGGUGAAUUAUACAGUGAGAUAUGUAAUAUUAUGUUGACACUUUGAGUCUCAAAGCGAAUUAUGCUGUUGUAUCUUACUUGGGUCCCAGCUGUUGCCUGGAAGAGUGAAGCCACAUAUGGCUGAGACCACUUCUGCCUUUAAAACCCAGGAUCCAAUGAAAGCUUGCAAACCUGAGUGGUCUUGCCCUGGGAGACAUUUUGUACAUCUGAUAUGAUAAUGAACUGGACUGAUCAUUAAUGACACAGCAGGGAGCUAUUAAUCUGCGAGUGUCUUUUUUUUUGGUGAAAAUGUAAAGCAGUUCUGCAUAUUUGUUUUAUUUUCCCCAUAUUUUAUUGGUACAUUAUAGUUGUACAUAAUGAUGGGAUUUGUUGUUACAUAUUCAUAGCAGCACACAAUGUAGCAAUAUAAUUUGACAACAGUUCAUUACUUUUCAUGACUGUGUUGUAUUCCCAAAUAAUUCCUCCCUCCCUCCCCACAGUCCAGCCCUUGGUGUCCCUUCUGGCAUCCCUGGGAUUUUUAUGAGAUUAUUCACACGCCACAAUUCUUUUCCUUUUUUUUCCCUCAAGCUUCUGCAUUUGACAUAAAACAUAUGACCCUU